RNAcentral lists this unclassified non-coding RNA (337 nucleotides) under soil metagenome. RNAcentral's name for it is "partial contains 5.8S ribosomal RNA, internal transcribed spacer 2, and large subunit ribosomal RNA". The stretch from base 1 to 119 matches the Rfam family "5.8S ribosomal RNA", at positions 35 to 154 of the family's 154-position model. The record is from RNAcentral.
GAUGAAGAAGUAGCGAAAUGCGAUAAGUAAUGUGAAUUGCAGAAUUCAGUGAAUCAUCGAAUCUUUGAACGCACAUUGCGCCCGGCAGUACUCUGCCGGGCAUGCCUGUUCGAGCGUCAUUUCAACCCUCAAGCCCUGCUUGGUGUUGGGGCCCCACGGCUGCCGUGGGCCCUGAAAGGAAGUGGCGGGCUCGCUACAACUCCGAGCGUAGUAAUUCAUUAUCUCGCUUAGGGCGUUGGGCGGCGCUCCAGCCGUUAAAGAACCAUCUUUAACUCAAGGUUGACCUCGGAUCAGGUAGGAAUACCCGCUGAACUUAAGCAUAUCAAUAAGCGGAGGA